UGUGGCUUAGUGGUAGAGCACUUGCCUAGCAUGUAUGAGGCACUGGGUUUGAUUCUCAGCA
RNAcentral lists this transfer RNA (61 nucleotides) under Urocitellus parryii (Arctic ground squirrel). Its description in RNAcentral is "Spermophilus parryii (Arctic ground squirrel) tRNA". It matches the Rfam family "tRNA", at positions 6 to 65 of the family's 71-position model. Rfam says of the family: Transfer RNA (tRNA) molecules are approximately 80 nucleotides in length. Their secondary structure includes four short double-helical elements and three loops (D, anti-codon, and T loops). Lineage: Eukaryota; Metazoa; Chordata; Mammalia; Rodentia; Sciuridae. The record is from Rfam by way of RNAcentral. RNAcentral also lists the same sequence under 4 other names.